CAGUAGCCGCGGUAAGACAGAGGAUGUAAGCGUUAUCCGGAAUGAUUGGGCGUAAAGCGUCUGUAGGUGGCUUUUCAAGUCCGCCGUCAAAUCCCAGGGCUCAACCCUGGACAGGCGGUGGAAACUACCAAGCUGGAGUACGGUAGGGGCAGAGGGAAUUUCCAGUGGAGCGGUGAAAUGCGUUGAGAUCGAAAAGAACACCAACAGCGAAAGCACUCUGCUGGGUCGACACUGACACUAAGAGACGAAAGCUAGGGGAGCAAAUGGGAUUAGAUACCCCCGUAGUCCCUGUCUCUUAUAC
Molecule: ribosomal RNA, 301 nt
Filed under: uncultured bacterium
Lineage: Bacteria
Description: partial 16S ribosomal RNA
Rfam family: Bacterial small subunit ribosomal RNA
Source: RNAcentral